This 313-nucleotide ribosomal RNA is filed under the name uncultured bacterium. RNAcentral's name for it is "bacterial SSU rRNA". It matches the Rfam family "Bacterial small subunit ribosomal RNA", at positions 337 to 642 of the family's 1533-position model. The record is from RNAcentral.
UCCUACGGGAGGCAGCAGUGGGGAAUAUUGGACAAUGGGGGCAACCCUGAUCCAGCCAUGCCGCGUGUGUGAAGAAGGCCUUCGGGUUGUAAAGCACUUUCAGUUGUGAGGAAGGGGAGCUAGUUAAUACCUAGUUUCAUUGACGUUAACAACAGAAGAAGCACCGGCUAACUUCGUGCCAGCAGCCGCGGUAAUACGGAGGGUGCAAGCGUUAAUCGGAAUUACUGGGCGUAAAGCGCGCGUAGGCGGUUAUUUAAGCCAGAUGUGAAAUCCCCGGGCUUAACCUGGGAACUGCAUUUGGAACUGGGUAACU